Long non-coding RNA from Glycine soja, 1466 nucleotides. RefSeq lists it as uncharacterized. Lineage: Eukaryota; Viridiplantae; Streptophyta; Magnoliopsida; Fabales; Fabaceae. The transcript is spliced from 3 exons. The record is from RefSeq and is a predicted model, not a curated record.
AAAAGAAAAACAAGUGCGGCAUCUAAACAUUCUUGGACAAUCCUCCCGUGUCUUUUCCAUAGAACAAGAUUUCAAAGAAAGGCAUUGCAUGGUAAACUUGAUUCCCUUUAACAUUUUGAUAAUCAUACAUCUUGGAUUCUACAAAUUCUCAUCAUCUUAACCAUGUUACAUUAGAACACCCGAAAUUAAAGCAUGCAGUUGCUUCAAGAAUAAUUUGGAGGGACUAGUGUGGAAAGUAGACACAGAAAGAAAUGCCAUCAACAGUGAGGGAUCACGGGAUUGUUCGAAGGAUGGCAAGUCUUCCUCGAAGCAUAAUGGGAGGGAUUUCAAGAGCAAUGGAGGAUGGAAUGGGCUUUAUAGGAAGAGGAAGAAGAAGAAAUCAGCACACAAAUAUUCCUUUGCAGCCUCAAGACCAUCAUGUUCCACAACCACAUGGUCAAGUAGUAGUUCAAGAUGAAUGGAGUUUUCUAGAGAGUUUUGAGUAGCAAUUUGGCACCAAACACCCUUUCUUCUAUGCUUUCCGUUUCGUCGAAUCCAUGAAGUUAGCUGAGUAAGAUCACAAGUUCUUGUUCAUAUACCUCCACUCGCCUGACCACCCGUUUUCUGCAAGGAAACGCUGUGUUUGGAGCCGGUGAUCCAGUUUCUUGACGUGAAUUUUGUUUGCUGGGGUGGACUUGCGGAUAGAGGAGAGGGCUAAGCAGGAAGAAAAGAUCCGAGCUGACCGUAGGCUCAGAGAAGAACAAGAUGCUGCAUAUCUUGCAGCUUUACAAAUUGACAAGAAAAAAGACAAACCCAAUAAUUUACCUCUAAGAGAGAGGAGAGAGUUCAGAAGCUGGCGGAAGCUCACAACAACAGAAAUUAUGGGAAAUUGAUUAACAAUUCGAUGAAUGUCACUAAACAGAACAGCAAAGUGAAUGAGUUCAAUAAAGAAAAGGGAGACAAGGGAGUUGCUAGUAAAGGAAGCGAGUCUCAGCCCACACAGAUACUCAUAAGGUUUCCAAACGGUGAAAGAAGAGAGCAUACUUUCCUUUACACAAACAAAAUCCAGUCCAUUUUCUCAUACAUUGAUUCAUUAGGUUUGCCAGGGAUUGGAAACUGCUGAUUGAUAUCAAACUUUCCAAGAAGAGCUUAUGGCGUUGAUCAAAUGAGAAUGACUCUCAAAGAGGCUGGCUUGUAUCCUAAAGCUAGUGUAUUUCUGGAGCCUUUAGGAACUAGAGUCCCUUAACCCCAUGUUAAGAUGCACAUGUGCUAUUUGUCAACAUAAAUUUGAAUUUCAAUUAAUCAAAAUGAGAGCAAAAAAAUUUAUCUUAUGUGGAAUUCACUUCAGCUCUUAAAUUGAUUAAGAUUUGAAUGCAUCUCCAAAAUCUGGACUUCUUUUUAGAAGAUAGUUUGUAGACCAUUUUAACUGUUCUGGUUUUCAGGAAAAGCAUAACAAAUUUCUGAGUGCGCGGAUGCCUUAUUCUUUC